This 447-nucleotide ribosomal RNA is filed under the name uncultured bacterium. Its description in RNAcentral is "SSU rRNA". It matches the Rfam family "Bacterial small subunit ribosomal RNA", at positions 26 to 518 of the family's 1533-position model. The record is from RNAcentral.
AGAGCGAACGCUGGCGGCAGGCUUAACACAUGCAAGUCGAGCGCCCGUAGCAAUACGGGAGCGGCAGACGGGAUAGUAACACGUGGGAACGCGCCCUUCGGUUCGGAAUAACUCAGGGAAACUUGAGCUAAUACCGGAUACGCCCUUACGGGGAAAGAUUUAUUGCCGAAGGAACGGCCCGCGUCCGAUUAGCUAGUUGGUGAGGUAAUGGCUCACCAAGGCGACGAUCGGUAGCUGGUCUGAGAGGAUGACCAGCAUCACUGGGACUGAGACACGGCCCAGACUCCUACGGGAGGCAGCAGUGGGGAAUAUUGGACAAUGGGCGCAAGCCUGAUCCAGCCAUGCCGCGUGGAUGAUGAAGGCCUUAGGGUUGUAAAGUCCUUUUAACGGGGAGAUAAUGACGGUACCCGUAGAAUAAGCCCCGGCUAACUUCGUGCCAGCAGCCGC